GUGGAUUAGAUACCCUAGUAGUCCACGCGGUAAACGAUGAAUACUAGGUGUAGGGGGUAUCAACUCCCCCUGUGCCGGAGCUAACGCAAUAAGUAUUCCGCCUGGGGAGUACGGCCGCAAGGUUGAAACUCAAAGGAAUUGACGGGGGCCCGCACAAGCAGCGGAGCAUGUGGUUUAAUUCGAAGCAACGCGAAGAACCUUACCAAGGCUUGACAUCCACUUAAACGCAUGGAAACAUGCGGUCUCUUCGGAGGAAGUGAGACAGGUGGUGCACGGCUGUCGCCAGCU
RNAcentral lists this ribosomal RNA (288 nucleotides) under uncultured bacterium. Its description in RNAcentral is "partial 16S ribosomal RNA". It matches the Rfam family "Bacterial small subunit ribosomal RNA", at positions 773 to 1060 of the family's 1533-position model. The record is from RNAcentral.